RNAcentral lists this transfer RNA (76 nucleotides) under Alphaproteobacteria bacterium LSUCC0226. RNAcentral describes it as "tRNA-Thr". It matches the Rfam family "tRNA". From Rfam's summary of the family: Transfer RNA (tRNA) molecules are approximately 80 nucleotides in length. Their secondary structure includes four short double-helical elements and three loops (D, anti-codon, and T loops). Lineage: Bacteria; Pseudomonadati; Pseudomonadota; Alphaproteobacteria. The record is from RNAcentral. RNAcentral also lists the same sequence under 14 other names.
GCUGGCGUGGCUCAAUUGGUAGAGCACCCGAUUUGUAAUCGGGCGGUUGGGAGUUCGAGUCUCUCCGCCAGCACCA